This 251-nucleotide ribosomal RNA is filed under the name uncultured prokaryote. RNAcentral's name for it is "partial 16S rRNA". It matches the Rfam family "Bacterial small subunit ribosomal RNA", at positions 525 to 775 of the family's 1533-position model. The record is from RNAcentral.
ACGUAGGGGGCAAGCGUUGUCCGGAUUUACUGGGUGUAAAGGGUGCUCAGGCGGGGUUGUAAGUCGGAGGUGGACUCCCGUGGCUCAACUCCGGAACUGCCAUAGAAACUGCAAGCCUAGAGUACGGGAGAGGUUGGUGGAAUAUCUGGUGUAGCAGUGAAAUGCGUAGAUAUCAGAUAGAACACCGAUGGCGAAGGCAGACAACUGGUCCGUUACUGACGCUGAAGCACGAAAGUGUGGGGAGCGAACAG